AUGACACCUUUCAAUAUACUUGUGUGGAACGUUCAUGUACUAAGCAACCCGACGCGUUGCAACAUUGUAUCGCAAGUGGUGGAUGCCGCAAAACCUACUAUUAUAUGUCUCCAAGAAACAAAGCUAGAAGUUGUAACACCUGAAGUGGUUAGGCAUUGCCCAGGGAAUAAAUUCGAGAAUUUUUACUUCUUGCCUGCGAGGAGCACGCGAGGUGGAAUUCUCUUGGCCUGGGAUAAUUCGGUGGCCACCUUGUCAAACCUCCAUUACACAGAAAAAAUGGUCACAACACUUGUUCGGCCGGUGGAGGAACCGGUUGCUCUUUGGCGGGUCACGGGCGUCUACGGACCACAGGAGGAUCAUGAGAAGACUUUGUUCUUGCAGGAGCUAAGUGACAUCUGA
RNAcentral lists this ribosomal RNA (399 nucleotides) under Triticum aestivum (bread wheat). Its description in RNAcentral is "partial small subunit ribosomal RNA". Lineage: Eukaryota; Viridiplantae; Streptophyta; Magnoliopsida; Poales; Poaceae. The record is from RNAcentral.